UACGUAGGGGGCUAGCGUUGUCCGGAUUUAUUGGGCGUAAAGAGCGUGUAGGCGGUUAGGUAGGUCCGUUGUGAAAACUCGAGGCUCAACCUCGAGACGCCGAUGGAAACCAUCUGACUAGAGUCCGGAAGAGGAGAGUGGAAUUCCUGGUGUAGCGGUGAAAUGCGCAGAUAUCAGGAAGAACACCCGUGGCUAAGGCGGCUCUCUAGUACGGUACUGACGCUGAGACGCGAAAGCGUGGGGAGCGAACAGG
Molecule: ribosomal RNA, 253 nt
Filed under: uncultured bacterium
Lineage: Bacteria
Description: partial 16S ribosomal RNA
Rfam family: Bacterial small subunit ribosomal RNA
Source: RNAcentral